RNAcentral lists this ribosomal RNA (576 nucleotides) under uncultured bacterium. RNAcentral's name for it is "partial 16S ribosomal RNA". It matches the Rfam family "Bacterial small subunit ribosomal RNA", at positions 356 to 923 of the family's 1533-position model. The record is from RNAcentral.
UGGGGAAUUUGGACAAUGGGCGAAAGCCUGAUCCAGCAAUGCCGCGUGUGUGAAGAAGGCCUUCGGGUUGUAAAGCACUUUUGUCCGGAAAGAAAUCCUUGGCUCUAAUACAGUCGGGGGAUGACGGUACCGGAAGAAUAAGCACCGGCUAACUACGUGCCAGCAGCCGCGGUAAUACGUAGGGUGCAAGCGUUAAUCGGAAUUACUGGGCGUAAAGCGUGCGCAGGCGGUUUGCUAAGACCGAUGUGAAAUCCCCGGGCUCAACCUGGGAACUGCAUUGGUGACUGGCAGGCUAGAGUAUGGCAGAGGGGGGUAGAAUUCCACGUGUAGCAGUGAAAUGCGUAGAGAUGUGGAGGAAUACCGAUGGCGAAGGCAGCCCCCUGGGCCAAUACUGACGCUCAUGCACGAAAGCGUGGGGAGCAAACAGGAUUAGAUACCCUGGUAGUCCACGCCCUAAACGAUGUCAACUAGUUGUUGGGGACUUCAUUUUCCUUAGUAACGUAGCUAACGCGUGAAGUUGACCGCCUGGGGAGUACGGUCGCAAGAUUAAAACUUAAAUGAAUUGACGGGGUCAUA